CAGCAGCCGCGGUAACACGGAGGAUCCAAGCGUUAUCCGGAAUCAUUGGGUUUAAAGGGUCCGUAGGCGGUCUUGUAAGUCAGUGGUGAAAGCCCAUCGCUCAACGGUGGAACGGCCAUUGAUACUGCAGGACUUGAAUUAUUGGGAAGUAACUAGAAUAUGUAGUGUAGCGGUGAAAUGCUUAGAGAUUACAUGGAAUACCAAUUGCGAAGGCAGGUUACUACCAAUUGAUUGACGCUGAUGGACGAAAGCGUGGGUAGCGAACAGGAUUAGAUACCCGCGUAGUCCCUGUCUCUUAUAC
Molecule: ribosomal RNA, 301 nt
Filed under: uncultured bacterium
Lineage: Bacteria
Description: partial 16S ribosomal RNA
Rfam family: Bacterial small subunit ribosomal RNA
Source: RNAcentral